Small nucleolar RNA from Tigriopus californicus, 91 nucleotides. RefSeq annotates it as small nucleolar RNA snR60/Z15/Z230/Z193/J17. NCBI's taxonomy places the organism in Eukaryota, Metazoa, Arthropoda, Copepoda, Harpacticoida, Harpacticidae. The record is from RefSeq and is a predicted model, not a curated record. The transcript has a single exon.
GAACACACUGUGAUGAGUGCAUAGUUCAUCUGAGCAAUCGUUGAUGUUAGAGCAUACCCAUCAUGUCUUUCGCUCCUAUCUGACUUUUCAU